RNAcentral lists this long non-coding RNA (205 nucleotides) under Mytilus galloprovincialis (Mediterranean mussel). The record is from RNAcentral. Lineage: Eukaryota; Metazoa; Mollusca; Bivalvia; Mytilida; Mytilidae.
GAAAAUUGAUGCGGAUAGAUAUUCAAUUGAUUUCUGAAUAAUUGGUUUUAAACAUUCACUGAAUUUUUAUUCAGCGUAUUUCAGUACGCUAAUAAAAAGGAUAUACUUGGAUAGUUGUCUCCUUGGCAAUCAUAACACAUCUUCUUAUCACUACAAUUCCUUGCAGCUAUGUGUUUAGUUUCAACGAGCAUAAAUUCUGCGGUCC